AUUUAGAGGAAGUAAAAGUCGUAACAAGGUUUCCGUAGGUGAACCUGCGGAAGGAUCAUUACUGAUUUGCUUAAUUGCACCACAUGUGUUUUUCUUUGAAACAAACUUGCUUUGGCGGUGGGCCCAGCCUGCCGCCAGAGGUCUAAACUUACAACCAAUUUUUUAUCAACUUGUCACACCAGAUUAUUACUAAUAGUCAAAACUUUCAACAACGGAUCUCUUGGUUCUCGCAUCGAUGAAGAACGCAGCGAAAUGCGAUACGUAAUAUGAAUUGCAGAUAUUCGUGAAUCAUCGAAUCUUUGAACGCACAUUGCGCCCUCUGGUAUUCCGGAGGGCAUGCCUGUUUGAGCGUCGUUUCUCCCUCAAACCGCUGGGUUUGGUGUUGAGCAAUACGACUUGGGUUUGCUUGAAAGACGGUAGUGGUAAGGCGGGAUCGCUUUGACAAUGGCUUAGGUCUAACCAAAAACAUUGUUUGCGGCGGUAACGUCCACCACGUAUAUCUUCAAACUUUGACCUCAAAUCAGGUAGGACUACCCGCUGAACUUAAGCAUAUCAAUAAGCGGAGGAGACAAAA
This 574-nucleotide ribosomal RNA is filed under the name uncultured Clavispora. RNAcentral's name for it is "eukaryotic LSU rRNA". The stretch from base 201 to 354 matches the Rfam family "5.8S ribosomal RNA". Lineage: Eukaryota; Fungi; Ascomycota; Pichiomycetes; Serinales; Metschnikowiaceae. The record is from RNAcentral.